AUGCUGCACGAGAAGCCCAUACCCAUCAUCCAACUGGCCGAUGAUGGAGAUGGGGGAAACAUGGCGUGGACAGGGGAGAAGAGGCGCCGCAAGAACCUGCGCCCAUCAUCUUCCGAUGCUACUGCCACUGCCGAUGACCAUGGAGACAUGGAGGACACCAUCCAAGGGUGCCAAGAUCCGAUUUCUCAUGCGACAGACAUGGAGGGCACCAUCCAAGGGGGCCAAGAUCCGAUUUCUCAUGCGACAGACAUGGAGGGCACCAUCCAAGCGGGCCAAGAUUAUGAUCUGCUGCUGAAAACAGAGCCGGCAAAAGAAGAAAGCGAGCAGUGUUUCGGGCCGUACUUCCUUCUCAGCAAGGAAGACCAGGCCAAGGAUUGUCAAUUUUUGCUUGCCAAUAUUCAGAAGGAGGACGAUUAUCCUACUGACCUGCCACUUUAUUUGACACGUGAGGAACACAGCAAGAUAGAAGCGCGCCUUGCACGCUAUCGCGUCGCUCAUUACAAGGUUGUGAAUCUGGAGUGCGCACGUGAGCUCAAGGAACCAGAAGAAUACACCGAUGAUGAGCUUCUUAACGAGUCGUACUUUGAGGGGUUAGAGGAUGAUGAAAGUUUUGAGUGGUACAUCCAUCCUGAAGACACCUACAACAUUGAAUUGAAUGACUACCAACGGAUUGUCCCUCGUAAUUUUCUGCCUGGUAGAAGUGGAAACCUGUACCGCUAUCACGAUGAGUACCGCUCGCGUUAUCAUACAUAUAAAAUUGAUGAUGUUUAUGUCAAGUACUAUGCAGAAAUUUCAAAGAAAAUCAAGGAGUACAUUACGGAGCUGGAAAUGGAUGCGUCCCUCAAGGACAUAGAUCUCCUCUAUUUUGAGAUCUGGAGGCUUGUCGCUAAAGAAAAUAGAACUUACAAAGAGGCUGUGAAGGAAGUUUAUGAGUCUGGCGUGUUCCCUAUACACAAGGCAGUACUACAUGCUGAACUCAAUGGGGGUCAUAUCUUUGUAACGAUGCAAGAAAUGAUUUACGCUGUUGUCCUGGAGGGUGGCAUUGAACUGACUGACGAAGAGAAGAAAGCUAGGGGUGUGUUUAGGGAGUUAUCUUUCAGCAUGCAUAAACCACUGAACAUGGCUCAGUAUGCUCAGAACAAGGUGGAGAUAGCAAAACAGUUGAAGUUGGACAAUGAGGAUGGAUUUGUUCCUUUUAGACCCUUUGAGUUCUGA
Molecule: ribosomal RNA, 1215 nt
Filed under: Triticum aestivum (bread wheat)
Lineage: Eukaryota; Viridiplantae; Streptophyta; Magnoliopsida; Poales; Poaceae
Description: partial small subunit ribosomal RNA
Source: RNAcentral